This 101-nucleotide ribosomal RNA is filed under the name Acinetobacter baumannii. Its description in RNAcentral is "partial 23S ribosomal RNA". It matches the Rfam family "Bacterial large subunit ribosomal RNA", at positions 1 to 100 of the family's 2925-position model. The record is from RNAcentral. Lineage: Bacteria; Pseudomonadati; Pseudomonadota; Gammaproteobacteria; Moraxellales; Moraxellaceae.
AGUCAAGUAAUUAAGUGCAUGUGGUGGAUGCCUUGGCAGUCAGAGGCGAUGAAAGACGUGAUAGCCUGCGAAAAGCUCCGGGGAGGCGGCAAAUAUCCUUU